UGCGUAGGGGGCAAGCGUUGUCCGGAUUUAUUGGGCGUAAAGCGCUCGCAGGUGGUUCGUCGCGUCGUGCGUGAAAGACCCCGGCUCAACUGGGGGAGGUCGUGCGAUACGGGCGAACUGGAGGCCAGUAGGGGGAUGCGGAAUUCCGGGUGUAGUGGUGGAAUGCGUAGAGAUCCGGAGGAACACCAGCGGCGAAGGCGGCAUCCUGGACUGGUCCUGACACUCAUGAGCGAAAGCGUGGGGAGCGAUCCGG
RNAcentral lists this ribosomal RNA (253 nucleotides) under uncultured bacterium. RNAcentral describes it as "partial 16S ribosomal RNA". It matches the Rfam family "Bacterial small subunit ribosomal RNA", at positions 524 to 776 of the family's 1533-position model. The record is from RNAcentral.